RNAcentral lists this ribosomal RNA (429 nucleotides) under Pseudomonadota bacterium. RNAcentral describes it as "Proteobacteria bacterium partial 16S ribosomal RNA". It matches the Rfam family "Bacterial small subunit ribosomal RNA", at positions 355 to 776 of the family's 1533-position model. Lineage: Bacteria; Pseudomonadati; Pseudomonadota. The record is from RNAcentral.
UGGGGAAUAUUGGACAAUGGGCGAAAGCCUGAUCCAGCCAUGCCGCGUGUGUGAAGAAGGUCUUCGGAUUGUAAAGCACUUUAAGUUGGGAGGAAGGGCAGUAAGCGAAUACCUUGCUGUUUUGACGUUACCGACAGAAUAAGCACCGGCUAACUCUGUGCCAGCAGCCGCGGUAAUACAGAGGGUGCAAGCGUUAAUCGGAAUUACUGGGCGUAAAGCGCGCGUAGGUGGUUCGUUAAGUUGAAUGUGAAAGCCCCGGGCUCAACCUGGGAACUGCAUCCAAAACUGGCGAGCUAGAGUAGGGCAGAGUGUGGUGGAAUUUCCUGUGUAGCGGAGAAAUGCGUAGAUAUAGGAAGGAACACCAGUGGCGAAGGCGACCACCUGAGCUCAUACUGACACUGAGGUGCGAAAGCGUGGGGAGCAAACAGG